This 416-nucleotide ribosomal RNA is filed under the name uncultured bacterium. RNAcentral's name for it is "bacterial SSU rRNA". It matches the Rfam family "Bacterial small subunit ribosomal RNA", at positions 355 to 769 of the family's 1533-position model. The record is from RNAcentral.
UAAGGAAUAUUGGUCAAUGGACGCAAGUCUGAACCAGCCAUGCCGCGUGAAGGAUGAAGGUCCUCUGGAUUGUAAACUUCUUUUAUCUGGGACGAAAACGGGAUUUUUAUCUCAAUUGACGGUACCAGAGGAAUAAGCACCGGCUAACUCCGUGCCAGCAGCCGCGGUAAUACGGAGGGUGCGAGCGUUAUCCGGAUUUACUGGGUUUAAAGGGUGCGUAGGUGGGCUUAUAAGUCAGUGGUGAAAUCUCCGAGCUUAACUUGGAAACUGCCGUUGUUACUAUAGGUCUUGAAUUAUCUGGAGGUAAGCGGAAUAUGUCAUGUAGCGGUGAAAUGCUUAGAUAUGACAUAGAACACCAAUUGCGAAGGCAGCUUACUACAUAUAAAUUGACGCUGAGGCACGAAAGCGUGGGGAUC